This 377-nucleotide ribosomal RNA is filed under the name uncultured eukaryote. RNAcentral describes it as "partial 18S ribosomal RNA". It matches the Rfam family "Eukaryotic small subunit ribosomal RNA", at positions 592 to 976 of the family's 1831-position model. The record is from RNAcentral.
CAAUAGCGUAUAUUAAAGUUGUUGCAGUUAAAAAGCUCGUAGUUGGAUUUUGAGUUUGGUAAGCUCGGUCUGCUAUUUAGCAGUACUGACUUGCCGGCUCUUCUUCUCGAGGCCUAUGGGUGCACUUAACCGUGUGUUCAUAGUGUUCGGGACUUUUACCGUGAGAAAAUUAGAGUGCUCAUAGCAGGCUUUUGCUUGAAUAUUGCAGCAUGGAAUAAUGGAAUAGGAUCAUGAUCUUAUUUUGUUGGUUUCUAAGAUCAAGAUAAUGAUUAAUAGGGAUAGUUGGGGGCGUUAAUAUUUAGUUGUCAGAGGUGAAAUUCUUAGAUUUACAAAAGAUUAACUUCUGCGAAAGCAUUCGCCAAGGAUGUUUUCGUUAA